AUCCAUCUGACGAGUUCCAAAUAGGAUGAAACACGCAUCCUGGAU
RNAcentral lists this non-coding RNA (45 nucleotides) under Schistosoma mansoni. Lineage: Eukaryota; Metazoa; Platyhelminthes; Trematoda; Strigeidida; Schistosomatidae. The record is from RNAcentral.